Molecule: ribosomal RNA, 520 nt
Filed under: uncultured Glomus
Lineage: Eukaryota; Fungi; Glomeromycota; Glomeromycetes; Glomerales; Glomeraceae
Description: SSU rRNA
Rfam family: Eukaryotic small subunit ribosomal RNA
Source: RNAcentral
AGCAGCCGCGGUAAUUCCAGCUCCAAUAGCGUAUAUUAAAGUUGUUGCAGUUAAAAAGCUCGUAGUUGAAUUUCGGGAUCAAUGCGUCGGUCGUGCCUUCGGUACGUACUAGCGUCAUUGAUUCCUCCCUUCUGAAGAACCGUGAUGUCAUUAAUUUGGUGUUACGGGGAAUCAGGACUGUUACCUUGAAAAAAUUAGAGUGUUUAAAGCAGGCUAACGCUUGAAUACAUUAGCAUGGAAUAAUGAAAUAGGACGUUCGAACCUAUUUUGUUGGUUUCUAGGAUCGACGUAAUGAUUAAUAGGGAUAGUUGGGGGCAUUAGUAUUCAAUUGUCAGAGGUGAAAUUCUUGGAUUUAUUGAAGACUGACUACUGCGAAAGCAUUUGCCAAGGAUGUUUUCAUUAAUCAAGAACGAAAGUUAGGGGAUCGAAGACGAUCAGAUACCGUCGUAGUCUUAACCAUAAACUAUGCCGACUAGGGAUCGGAUGAUGUUAAUUUUAUAAUGACUCAUUCGGCGCCUUA